RNAcentral lists this ribosomal RNA (497 nucleotides) under uncultured bacterium. RNAcentral describes it as "partial 16S ribosomal RNA". It matches the Rfam family "Bacterial small subunit ribosomal RNA", at positions 28 to 507 of the family's 1533-position model. The record is from RNAcentral.
GAUGAACGCUGGCGGCGUGCCUAAUACAUGCAAGUCGGGCGAACGGACGAGAAGCUUGCUUCUCUGAUGUUAGCGGCGGACGGGUGAGUAACACGUGGAUAACCUACCUAUAAGACUGGGAUAACUUCGGGAAACCGGAGCUAAUACCGGAUAAUAUUUUGAACCGCAUGGUUCAAAAGUGAAAGACGGUCUUGCUGUCACUUAUAGAUGGAUCCGCGCUGCAUUAGCUAGUUGGUAAGGUAACGGCUUACCAAGGCAACGAUGCAUAGCCGACCUGAGAGGGUGAGCGGCAACAGUGGAACUGAGACAGGUCCGGCACCCUGACGGGAGGAACCGGAGGGGAAUCUUCGCGAAGGGGCAAAGGCCGGACGAAGCAACCCGGCGGGGAGAAUAAAGGUUUUCGGACCUUAAAACUUUUUUAUUGGGAAAAAACAGUUGUUAAAUUACCUGUGCACUUCUGGAGGGUACCUAAUCAAAAGACCCGGGCUAACCACGUG